Long non-coding RNA from Populus euphratica (Euphrates poplar), 476 nucleotides. RefSeq lists it as uncharacterized. Lineage: Eukaryota; Viridiplantae; Streptophyta; Magnoliopsida; Malpighiales; Salicaceae. The record is from RefSeq and is a predicted model, not a curated record. The transcript is spliced from 2 exons.
AGCAAUGGACAUCGCCAUUUGUGGGAUGUCAUAGUAGUGAAAUCCAUGAGUUGGAGAAAAAGACUAGGUGACAGUCUUCCUACAUCUGUAGGACAAAGGACAUGAAGAUGCGAAAUUGGUAAUUGCUGCUCUAAGAAGUAAAGGCAUGAAUUCCAUUGGUGCUGCAGGUUCUUGAUGGGGAGUGAGUCAUUCUCCCCCAUAGCUACGAACUUGCUCAAGUUGGAACAAGCACAAAUCUAAGACAGAAAAUUUAACGAGGUGAAGAUUCCAGUUGCUUUUCUGGGAGCUGAAAUUGACCGUGCUUCCACACCAGAACAAUUGAAAUUCAUCUGCAAAAUCUCAGGUGAUAGGUCCUCAGUCUCAAGAUUGAUGAUUGUCCCAUAGAGGUUCUAUGUUUUAAGGAGAUAAUGUUUUUUUUUUUUUAAACUCUUUUCAUCUCAUGACUUGGCAAAUAUGAUUUAGCAUUUUGGAUUCAA